GACGGAGGGGGCUAGCGUUGUUCGGAAUGACUGGGCGUAAAGGGCGCGUAGGCGGUUUUUUAAGUUGGGCGUGAAAGCCCCGGGCUUAACCUGGGAACUGCGCUUGAUACUGAAAGACUAGAGGACGAGAGAGGAAAGUGGAAUUCCGAGUGUAGAGGUGAAAUUCGUAGAUAUUCGGAGGAACAUCAGAGGCGAAGGCGGCUUUCUGGCUCGUAUCUGACGCUGAGGCGCGAAAGCGUGGGGAGCAAACAGG
RNAcentral lists this unclassified non-coding RNA (253 nucleotides) under uncultured Alphaproteobacteria bacterium. Its description in RNAcentral is "contains 16S-23S intergenic spacer region". It matches the Rfam family "Bacterial small subunit ribosomal RNA", at positions 524 to 776 of the family's 1533-position model. The record is from RNAcentral. Lineage: Bacteria; Pseudomonadati; Pseudomonadota; Alphaproteobacteria.